This 468-nucleotide ribosomal RNA is filed under the name uncultured bacterium. RNAcentral describes it as "partial 16S ribosomal RNA". It matches the Rfam family "Bacterial small subunit ribosomal RNA", at positions 28 to 507 of the family's 1533-position model. The record is from RNAcentral.
GACGAACGCUGGCGGCGUGCUUAACACAUGCAAGUCGAACGGAAAGGCCCUGCUUUUGUGGGGUGCUCGAGUGGCGAACGGGUGAGUAACACGUGAGUAACCUGCCCUUGACUUUGGGAUAACUUCAGGAAACUGGGGCUAAUACCGGAUAGGAGCUCCUGCUGCAUGGUGGGGGUUGGAAAGUUUCGGCGGUUGGGGAUGGACUCGCGGCUUAUCAGCUUGUUGGUGGGGGAGUGGCUUACCAAGGCUUUGACGGGUAGCCGGCCCGAGAGGGUGGACGGCCUCAUUGGGACUGCGGUACGGCCCAGACUCCUACGUGAGGCAGCAGUGGCGAAUCUUGCACAGUGGGCGGAAGCCUGAUGCAGCAACGCCGCGUGCGGGAUGACGGCCUUCGGGUUGUAAACCGCUUUCGCCUGUGACGAAGCGUGAGUGACGGUAAUGGGUAAAGAAGCACCGGCUAACUACGUG